CGGACGGGUGAGUAACACGUAAGGAACCUACCGAUAAGCGGGGGACAACAUCCGGAAACGGGUGCUAAUACCGCAUAGGAAGUUUGUUCGCAUGAACAAACUUAGAAAGAUGGCUCUGCUAUCACUUAUCGAUGGCCUUGCGGUGCAUUAACUAGUUGGCGAGGUAACGGCUCACCAAGGUGAUGAUGCAUAGCCGACCUGAGAGGGUAAUCGGCCACAUUGGGACUGAGACACGGCCCAAACUCCUACGGGAGGCAGCAGGC
RNAcentral lists this ribosomal RNA (263 nucleotides) under uncultured Aerococcus sp. RNAcentral's name for it is "partial 16S ribosomal RNA". It matches the Rfam family "Bacterial small subunit ribosomal RNA", at positions 99 to 354 of the family's 1533-position model. The record is from RNAcentral. Lineage: Bacteria; Bacillati; Bacillota; Bacilli; Lactobacillales; Aerococcaceae.